This 634-nucleotide non-coding RNA is filed under the name Lottia gigantea (owl limpet). RNAcentral's name for it is "eukaryotic small subunit ribosomal RNA". It matches the Rfam family "Eukaryotic small subunit ribosomal RNA", at positions 33 to 595 of the family's 1831-position model. Lineage: Eukaryota; Metazoa; Mollusca; Gastropoda; Lottiidae. The record is from Rfam by way of RNAcentral.
UGUCUCAAGCUUAAGCCAUGCAAGUCUAAGUUCAGGCUUGUUCCUUUCGGGGAGCGAGCCGAAACUGCGAACGGCUCAUUAGUCAGAUAAGGUUCCUUGGCUAAAAGCGGGUCGGUUUUAAUGGAUAACUGUGGUAAUUCUAGAGCUAAUACAUGCAACGCACCGUGGUCCCCGUAGUCUUCUCGUCUCGGGGAAACGGCAUUUAUUCUCUGGACCAGAUCGCCCUAGCCUGCGAAGCUACCGUCAAAAGUAGCGACGGGGCGAAGCGACAAGUGUUGAAAUCCGAAUAACUGUGCCGAUCGCGGGGUCUUUCCGGGCCCCCGACGACUUUGCCAUGAAGUGUCUGUCCCAUCAAUUGGCGAUGGUCGGCGACCUGCCUACCACGGUGUUGACGGGUAACGGGGAAUCAGGGUUCGAUUCCGGAGAGGGAGCCUGCGAAACGGCUACCACCUCCAAGGAGGGCAGCAGGCGCGCAACUUACCCAAUCCCGACACGGGGAGGUAGUGACGAAAAAUAACGUGGCGGGGCCCUUUCGUGGUCGCCGCGGGCGGAAUGAGCGCAAUUUAAAAGAGUGUGCGAGGAGCUAUUGGAGGGCAAGCCUGGUGCCAGCAGCCGCGGUAAUUCCAGCUCCAAU